This 110-nucleotide small nuclear RNA is filed under the name Echinops telfairi (small Madagascar hedgehog). The record is from RNAcentral. Lineage: Eukaryota; Metazoa; Chordata; Mammalia; Afrosoricida; Tenrecidae.
GACCUAAUCAACUUUGGCAGGACAUUUACCAGGAUUGAACCGACACAGAGGAGAUUAACAUGGCCCUUGCAUAGGAUGACGGGCAAAUUCAUACAGUUUUCUGGCUUCUG